RNAcentral lists this ribosomal RNA (330 nucleotides) under uncultured eukaryote. RNAcentral's name for it is "bacterial SSU rRNA". It matches the Rfam family "Eukaryotic small subunit ribosomal RNA", at positions 592 to 934 of the family's 1831-position model. The record is from RNAcentral.
CAAUAGCGUAUAUUAAAGUUGUUGCAGUUAAAAAGCUCGUAGUUGGAUUUCUGGUAGUGGGUUAGAGCGCACAUGCGUGAUGCUCGCGUCCAUUGCCAUCCUUCUGUUAACCUUUCAGGGCAUUCAUUUGCCAGUUAGGGGCUCAGAUAUUUUACCUUGAGAAAAUUAGAGUGUUUCAGGCAGGCUUGUGCCCGGAUACAUUAGCAUGGAAUAAUAGAAUAGGACUUUAGCCUCUUCUGUUGGUCUGAGGGGGUUGAAGUAAUGAUUAAUAGGGAUAGUUGGGGGCAUUAGUACUUAACUGUCAGAGGUGAAAUUCCUCGGUAUUUAGUU